GCGUUGCUUUGGCUUUGCAUAUACUAAAAUUGGAACGAUACAGAGAAGAUUAGCAAGGCCCCUGCGUAAGGAUGACACGCAACAAGAAAAAGAUACCCAAGAUUAAU
Syngnathus typhle (broad-nosed pipefish) is the source of this 107-nucleotide small nuclear RNA. Lineage: Eukaryota; Metazoa; Chordata; Actinopteri; Syngnathiformes; Syngnathidae. The record is from RefSeq and is a predicted model, not a curated record.